CUAGAAUCUGCCCCACACUGAUCCUGUCUGAUCUUGGAAGUUAAGCAGGGUCAGGCCUGGUUAGUAUCCGGAUGGCAAACUGCCUGAAAUAUAUCUUGGGAAAAGCUACU
RNAcentral lists this ribosomal RNA (110 nucleotides) under Salvator merianae (Argentine black and white tegu). Lineage: Eukaryota; Metazoa; Chordata; Lepidosauria; Squamata; Teiidae. The record is from RNAcentral.